UACGUAAGGACCGAGCGUUGUCCGGAAUCAUUGGGCGUAAAGGGUACGUAGGCGGGUCAUUAAGUUAGAAGUCAAAGGCUAUAGCUCAACUAUAGUAAGCUUCUAAAACUGGCGACCUUGAGUAAUGGAAGGGAAAGUGGAAUUCCUAGUGUAGCGGUGGAAUGCGCAGAUAUUAGGAGGAAUACCGGUGGCGAAGGCGACUUUCUGGCCAUUAACUGACGCUGAGGUACGAAAGCGUGGGUAGCAAACAGG
This 252-nucleotide ribosomal RNA is filed under the name uncultured bacterium. Its description in RNAcentral is "partial 16S ribosomal RNA". It matches the Rfam family "Bacterial small subunit ribosomal RNA", at positions 524 to 776 of the family's 1533-position model. The record is from RNAcentral.